This 440-nucleotide ribosomal RNA is filed under the name uncultured bacterium. Its description in RNAcentral is "partial 16S ribosomal RNA". It matches the Rfam family "Bacterial small subunit ribosomal RNA", at positions 338 to 795 of the family's 1533-position model. The record is from RNAcentral.
CCUACGGGAGGCAGCAGUGGGGAAUAUUGCACAAUGGGGGAAACCCUGAUGCAGCGACGCCGCGUGAGUGAAGAAGUAUUUCGGUACGUAAAGCUCUAUCAGCAGGGAAGAAAAUGACGGUACAUGACUAAGAAACCCCGGCUAAAUAAGUGCCAGCAGCCGCGGUAACACGUAGGGGGCAAGCGUUAACCGGAUUUACUGGGUGGAAAGGGAGCGUAGACGGCAGCGCAAGUCUGGAGUGAAAUCCGAUGGCUUAACCAUGGAAAUGCUUUGGAAAAUGUGCAGCUAGAGUGCAGGAGAGGUAAGCGGAAUUCCUAGUGUAGCGGUGAAAUGCGUAGAUAUUAGGAGGAACACCAGUGGCGAAGGCGGCUUACUGGACUGUAACUGACGUUGAGGCUCGAAAGCGUGGGGAGCAAACAGGAUUAGGUACCCUUGUAGUC